GACGAACGCUGGCGGCGUGCUUAACACAUGCAAGUCGAACGGAAAGGCCCUGCUUUUGUGGGGUGCUCGAGUGGCGAACGGGUGAGUAACACGUGAGUAACCUGCCCUUGACUUUGGGAUAACUUCAGGAAACUGGGGCUAAUACCGGAUAGGAGCUCCUGCUGCAUGGUGGGGGUUGGAAAGUUUCGGCGGUUGGGGAUGGACUCGCGGCUUAUCAGCUUGUUGGUGUGGUAGUGGCUUACCAAGGCUUUGACGGGUAGCCGGCCUGAGAGGGUGACCGGCCACAUUGGGACUGAGAUACGGCCCAGACUCCUACGGGAGGCAGCAGUGGGGAAUAUUGCACAAUGGGCGGAAGCCUGAUGCAGCAACGCCGCGUGCGGGAUUACGGCCUUCGGGUUGUAAACCGCUUUCGCCUGUGACGAAGCGUGAGUGACGGUAAUGGGUAAAGAAGCACCGGCUAACUACGUG
RNAcentral lists this ribosomal RNA (468 nucleotides) under uncultured bacterium. RNAcentral's name for it is "partial 16S ribosomal RNA". It matches the Rfam family "Bacterial small subunit ribosomal RNA", at positions 28 to 507 of the family's 1533-position model. The record is from RNAcentral.